Molecule: non-coding RNA, 131 nt
Organism: Mesocricetus auratus (golden hamster)
Lineage: Eukaryota; Metazoa; Chordata; Mammalia; Rodentia; Cricetidae
Source: Rfam
AACCGUGUCUUGGAAAAAAAAAAAAAAAAAAGGAAGGAAAGAAGGAAGGCAGACAUGGAACACCAUAUAUUUAUUGGCAAAGCUGUCUCCAUUUAUUUGGCGUCUAUUUCUUAUUUGCCCAAAUAACAUUC